UUUUGGUCCAUAUUUACUUUA
This 21-nucleotide microRNA is filed under the name Corchorus capsularis. Its description in RNAcentral is "sRNA CCACVL1_17413". The record is from RNAcentral. Lineage: Eukaryota; Viridiplantae; Streptophyta; Magnoliopsida; Malvales; Malvaceae.